This 484-nucleotide ribosomal RNA is filed under the name uncultured bacterium. Its description in RNAcentral is "partial 16S ribosomal RNA". It matches the Rfam family "Bacterial small subunit ribosomal RNA", at positions 28 to 507 of the family's 1533-position model. The record is from RNAcentral.
GUUGAACGCUGGCGGCAUGCCUAACACAUGCAAGUCGAGCGGAUGAAGGGAGCUUUCGCCUGGAUUCAGCGUCGGGCGGGGGAGUAAUGCCUAUGAAUCUGCCUGGUAGUGGGGUAUAACGUCCGGAAACGAGCGCUAAUACCGCAUACUUCCUGAGGGAGAAAGUGGGGGGGCGUCGGACCGCACGCUAGCAGAUGAGCCUAGGUCGGAUUGGCUAGUUGGUGGGGUAAAUGCCUUCCAAGGCGACGAUCCGUAACUGGUCUGAGAGGCUGAUAAGUCACAUUGGAACGGGGACACGGUCCAGGAUACUAAGGGAGGGCGCAGUGGGGUAUAUUGGACAAUGGGGGAAAGCCUGAUACAGCCAUGCGGAGUGUGUGAAGACGGUCUUCGGAUUGUAAAGAAGUCUAAGUUGGGAGGAACGGCAGUAAGUUAAUACCUUGCUGUUUUGACGUUAACAACAGAAUAAGCACCGGCUAACUUCGUG